AGAACGAACGCUGGCGGCAGGCUUAACACAUGCAAGUCGAACGCGUGUAGCAAUACACGAGUGGCGCACGGGUGAGUAACGCGUGGAUAUCUGCCUUUUGGUUCGGAAUAACCCCGGGAAACUGGGGCUAAUACCGGAUGGUUCCUACGGGAUAAAGAUUUAUCGCCAAAAGAUGAGUCCGCGUACGAUUAGCUAGUUGGUGAGGUAAUGGCUCACCAAGGCGACGAUCGUUAGCUGGUCUGAGAGGACGAUCAGCCACACUGGGACUGAGACACGGCCCAGACUCCUACGGGAGGCAGCAGUGGGGAAUAUUGGACAAUGGGGGCAACCCUGAUCCAGCCAUGCCGCGUGAGUGAUGAAGGCCUUCGGGUUGUAAAGCUCUUUUGGCGGGGACGAUGAUGACGGUACCGCAGAAUAAGCCCGGCUACUUCGCGCCAGCAGCCGC
RNAcentral lists this ribosomal RNA (445 nucleotides) under uncultured bacterium. Its description in RNAcentral is "SSU rRNA". It matches the Rfam family "Bacterial small subunit ribosomal RNA", at positions 26 to 518 of the family's 1533-position model. The record is from RNAcentral.